UCAUUUGAAUAAUACUCUCCCUUCUUAUUAUGUCACGUGCCUCCCGCUGAUCUAUUUUCCGACCUAAUCCAUUGCAUGCCAUCCAUGGUUGUUUGUUGUCGUUCAGCACGCAAUUUCAACCCAUAAAGAAAUUGUACUUUAGCAAUUUCUAAAUGAUGAUAUAGUUUGCACCAAAACUUGUUCGUAUAACCAAUCAAACCACAAAAGAAAAAAAAAAGUUCCCAAUCUUUCAUACUUAAAUGUGUUUUGCACACAUUCACCACCUGGCUGCCUAAUUUUCAUUGAUCGUUUAAGUGGUUUUUGGAUGUUAAUGCUCACUCAUAUCCUCAUGUAGUCUUUCCAAAACAUGUCAUGAUUUUUUUAUGUUAAGUGGUGGAUUAAUAAAAGACCUAAUAUUGAAUUAUUAUGUGUGUGGAUAAGUUAGGUCCAAUAACAAUUUGACUAUGAUGGGUAGAUGCUCUAUAAAUAGAGGCAAACUCCUUUUCCCUAGCCACUAGAAAACUCUAGCCUAUUUUCUUCUUGAAUACGUGGUAUAGCGGUUGACGCUCCAUUGGUUUGAUAUAGCUGAAGGAUGGUUUAAGUUGGUCUUAAGUUUAACCGUCGACGUUGCUACCGCUGCUUAAUAAUGGAGAUGAAGGUUGAUUCCAAAUGGUUCGCAAGGGAAGGUUCCGCGUUGAAGGACUUCAGGCUUGAAUUUCGAUGCUUCAAGAUCUAGUAUGAGUACGAGGCGUGAUAGCUGCGCUAGUGCCUGUCAGAGUUGGUGACUGGGGAAUUGGCAUGUUCUAGGUUUUUAGAGUGUACUCCAGACCUCGUCUUAUCUAGAUGUCUUUACUUAUUUCAGAGACAUAUAUUUUAUUUUCGUACUUUCUGAGUUGUAUUUAGAUGCUCUACACUUAUGAUACCAGAUGUU
Molecule: long non-coding RNA, 910 nt
Organism: Capsicum annuum
Lineage: Eukaryota; Viridiplantae; Streptophyta; Magnoliopsida; Solanales; Solanaceae
Exons: 3
Source: RefSeq, a predicted model, not a curated record